UGUGUUGUUGGGUAGGGGAGCGUUCUGUAAGCCUGUGAAGGUGGCCUGUGAGGGUUGCUGGAGGUAUCAGAAGUGCGAAUGCUGACAUAAGUAACGAUAAAGCGGGUGAAAAGCCCGCUCGCCGGAAGACCAAGGGUUCCUGUCCAACGUUAAUCGGGGCAGGGUGAGUCGACCCCUAAGGCGAGGCCGAAAGGCGUAGUCGAUGGGAAACGGGUUAAUAUUCCCGUACUUGGUGUUACUGCGAAGGGGGGACGGAGAAGGCUAUGUUGGCCGGGCGACGGUUGUCCCGGUUUAAGCGUGUAGGUGUGUGUUCCAGGUAAAUCCGGUUCACUUUAACACUGAGGCGUGACGACGAGGCACUACGGUGCUGAAGCAACAAAUGCCCUGCUUCCAGGAAAAGCCUCUAAGCAUCAGGUAACAUCAAAUCGUACCCCAAACCGACACAGGUGGUCAGGUAGAGAAUACCAAGGCGCUUGAGAGAACUCGGGUGAAGGAACUAGGCAAAAUGGUGCCGUAACUUCGGGAGAAGGCACGCUGACACGUAGGUGAAGUGAUUUACUCAUGGAGCUGAAGUCAGUCGAAGAUACCAGCUGGCUGCAACUGUUUAUUAAAAACACAGCACUGUGCAAACACGAAAGUGGACGUAUACGGUGUGACGCCUGCCCGGUGCCGGAAGGUUAAUUGAUGGGGUCAGCGCAAGCGAAGCUCCUGAUCGAAGCCCCGGUAAACGGCGGCCGUAACUAUAACGGUCCUAAGGUAGCGAAAUUCCUUGUCGGGUAAGUUCCGACCUGCACGAAUGGCGUAAUGAUGGCCAGGCUGUCUCCACCCGAGACUCAGUGAAAUUGAACUCGCUGUGAAGAUGCAGUGUACCCGCGGCAAGACGGAAAGACCCCGUGAACCUUUACUAUAGCUUGACACUGAACAUUGAGCCUUGAUGUGUAG
Molecule: ribosomal RNA, 942 nt
Filed under: Salmonella enterica
Lineage: Bacteria; Pseudomonadati; Pseudomonadota; Gammaproteobacteria; Enterobacterales; Enterobacteriaceae
Also listed under: 1 other name
Description: partial 23S ribosomal RNA
Rfam family: Bacterial large subunit ribosomal RNA
Source: RNAcentral